GACGAACGCUGGCGGCGUGCUUAACACAUGCAAGUCGAACGGAAAGGCCCUGCUUCUGUGGGGUGCUCGAGUGGCGAACGGGUGAGUAACACGUGAGUAACCUGCCCUUGACUUUGGGAUAACUUCAGGAAACUGGGGCUAAUACCGGAUAGGAGCUCCUGCUGCAUGGUGGGGGUUGGAAAGUUUCGGCGGUUGGGGAUGGACUCGCGGCUUAUCAGCUUGUUGGUGGGGUAGUGGCUUACCAAGGCUUUGACGGGUAGCCGGCCUGAGAGGGUGACCGGCCACAUUGGGACUGAGAUACGGCCCAGACUCCUACGGGAGGCAGCAGUGGGGAAUAUUGCACAAUGGGCGGAAGCCUGAUGCAGCAACGCCGCGUGCGGGAUGACGGCCUUCGGGUUGUAAACCGCUUUCGCCUGUGACGAAGCGUGAGUGACGGUAAUGGGUAAAGAAGCACCGGCUAACUACGUG
This 468-nucleotide ribosomal RNA is filed under the name uncultured bacterium. RNAcentral describes it as "partial 16S ribosomal RNA". It matches the Rfam family "Bacterial small subunit ribosomal RNA", at positions 28 to 507 of the family's 1533-position model. The record is from RNAcentral.